Molecule: ribosomal RNA, 100 nt
Organism: Bison bison bison
Lineage: Eukaryota; Metazoa; Chordata; Mammalia; Artiodactyla; Bovidae
Source: Ensembl
GUCAAUGCUCAUACCACCUGGAAUAUGUCCACUCUCGUCUGAUCUUAGAAGUUAGGCAGAGUCAGGCCUGGUUAAUGCUUGGACAGGAGAAAUGUUGAUU